Long non-coding RNA from Tetranychus urticae (two-spotted spider mite), 1258 nucleotides. RefSeq lists it as uncharacterized. Lineage: Eukaryota; Metazoa; Arthropoda; Arachnida; Trombidiformes; Tetranychidae. The record is from RefSeq and is a predicted model, not a curated record.
GAGCUCAUCAAACCCUUUGUUUUUCAGAAGCUUAAAAGCUGCAUAAUAGCAUUUUUCAAACGUUUGUUUCAAACAAUAUUUCAUCUGCUAAACAGUUUCUUGGACAUUUGUGAUAUUUGAAAGAUUUUUGUUCAUUCACAGAGUCAUAAAUUACUUACUUUUAUUCCAAGGAUUAAAAAGUAUGUAAAUACUGGCAGGAACUUGAAAUGUUGAAUAAUGGUUCCUUCCAGAAACAAUGGAUCUUGUUUCUAUUGAUAACUUCCAUUCUCCAAUAAUUGUGUUAAUUGCUGGUGUAAUCUCAAGAGUUGCUGAUUUGGUCUCCCAUGAAAGUAUGGAGACUUCCCAUGGUCGUGAUAAGGGAUUGAUUUCAUUCAUAUUUUCAUCGCCAACAGGCCUUACAAGUUUAUAAAAGAUUGUCCAUUUCGAACCAAAUCAUGAUUAAUGGAAAUAUGAAAGUGAAAUGAAUUCUACAGGGCUGAUAUCAUUAAGCAUACCGAACAGAUCAGCUCACCUUUUGACCAGAGCAUAAACCUGAUCACUCAACUUUGAGAUCAUUUGGCGUGUAACUGAAUGGACAAAGUAGAUAGCAAUCUGCAUUAUCAUCGUUCUUACAUUCUAUUGAAUAUUCAUUUUCAAGAAAUGCUGGCGACAGCGUGGUCUUAAAGACACAAGAGAUUUUCUCAUAAUUUACAAUUACAAGGUUGAUUGGACUCUUGAUUCCUGCCGAGAUCUGUUUAUUUUAAAUUUAUACCAAUUUAAGAUAGAUUAAUGAAUAACCCUUAAAUUUAAAUUUAUUUCUGCCUGUAAAGACUGAACUUCCGUUGAAUUGUCCAUUAACUGAGCUUUUGCUUUACAUUUUCAGAUCAUUUGUUCAAAUUUCGAUUAAUCCUGGACGAAAUUAAAUAAGAGUAGAUGAACAAUAAUCCGACUCAGCCUUUUCAGCACCAGAUAAUGAGCCACAAUCAAAUUACAAAGAGUACGUGUUAACAUCAUUUGCUAUUGUUUAAAUUGAAUCUUUUGUGAAACGCAAAUGAAAACGUUUUUACCAUUCUUUACACACAAACAAUUGAAUUGUCCUGAGUCUGUGACUUUCUUAAUUUGUCCAACUCUAAAUUCAUCUUUUAUCUUGAUUGUACUUGCAUAUCGUGACAUUUUAUCUGAAUGAAGUGUAUUAGCUUAGUGGUUAGCCUCAUGUUCUUGUUGGUAACCUGAGUUCGUCUCCGCUUGUGAACAUAUUAAACGUUUUUAAUUGAUACUA